GAUGAAGAACGUAGCGAAAUGCGAUAAGUAAUGUGAAUUGCAGAAUUCAGUGAAUCAUCGAAUCUUUGAACGCACCUUGCACCCUUUGGUAUUCCGAAGGGUAUGCUCGUUUGAGUGUCAUUGUACUCUCACACUUCUAACUCCUUUCGGGAUUGGGAGCGGUGGACUUGGGUGUUGCUGCUUUAGUUGUGGCUCACCUCAAAUAAGUUAGUGCAACUCUUGGUUGGACAUAGUACGGCGUGAUAAGUGUCUUCGCCGGCGCCUCUGUAAGGAGGGUGGCCGAUCGGGAGCUCUGUGCUUCAAACCGUCUUCGGACAAUCUUUGACAACUUGACCUCAAAUCGAGUAGGACUACCCGCUGAACUUAAGCAUAUCAAUAAGCGGAGGA
This 387-nucleotide unclassified non-coding RNA is filed under the name soil metagenome. RNAcentral describes it as "partial contains 5.8S ribosomal RNA, internal transcribed spacer 2, and large subunit ribosomal RNA". The stretch from base 1 to 120 matches the Rfam family "5.8S ribosomal RNA", at positions 35 to 154 of the family's 154-position model. The record is from RNAcentral.